This 407-nucleotide ribosomal RNA is filed under the name uncultured bacterium. RNAcentral describes it as "partial 16S ribosomal RNA". It matches the Rfam family "Bacterial small subunit ribosomal RNA", at positions 30 to 526 of the family's 1533-position model. The record is from RNAcentral.
AUUGAACGCUGGCGGCAGGCCUAACACAUGCAAGUCGAGCGGAGCGGCGGCCGGGUGAGUAAUGCCUAGGAAUCUGCCUGGUAGUGGGGGAUAACGUCCGGAAACGGGCGCUAAUACCGCAUACUAUCAGAUGAGCCUAGGUCGGAUUAGCUAGUUGGUGGGGUAAAGGCCUACCAAGGCGACGAUCCGUAACUGGUCUGAGAGGAUGAUCAGUGACAGUGGAACUGAGACACGGUCCAGACGCCUACUGCAGGCAGCAGUGGGGGAUAUUGCACAAUGGGAUAAAGCCUAAUGCAGCGACGCCGCGUGGAGGAUGAAGGCUUUCGGGUUGUAAACCUCUGUCGCUAUCGAACGGGUAGGUGGAGAAGAAGCGCCGGCUAACUACGUGCCAGCAGCCGCGGUAAUUC